RNAcentral lists this signal recognition particle RNA (78 nucleotides) under Desulfobacterales bacterium. RNAcentral describes it as "partial signal recognition particle sRNA small type". It matches the Rfam family "Bacterial small signal recognition particle RNA", at positions 18 to 97 of the family's 97-position model. From Rfam's summary of the family: The signal recognition particle (SRP) is a universally conserved ribonucleoprotein involved in the co-translational targeting of proteins to membranes. Archaeal SRP consists of a 7S RNA and homologues of the eukaryotic SRP19 and SRP54 proteins. In most bacteria, the SRP consists of a 4.5S RNA and the Ffh protein (a homologue of the eukaryotic SRP54 protein). The record is from RNAcentral. Lineage: Bacteria; Pseudomonadati; Thermodesulfobacteriota; Desulfobacteria; Desulfobacterales.
GGCUGUCACGAAUCCCGUCAGGUCCGGGAGGAAGCAGCGGUAAGUGAUCCAGCCUGUGUCGUGGGGUGGCUCCGGCCA